GAUGAACGCUGGCGGCGUGCCUAAUACAUGCAAGUCGAGCGAACAGACGAGGAGCUUGCUCCUCUGACGUUAGCGGCGGACGGGUGAGUAACACGUGGAUAACCUACCUAUAAGACUGGGAUAACUUCGGGAAACCGGAGCUAAUACCGGAUAAUAUAUUGAACCGCAUGGUUCAAUAGUGAAAGACGGUUUUGCUGUCACUUAUAGAUGGAUCCGCGCCGCAUUAGCUAGUUGGUAAGGUAACGGCUUACCAAGGCAACGAUGCGUAGCCGACCUGAGAGGUUGAUCGGCCACACUGGAACUGGGACACGGUCCAGACUCCUACGGGAGGCAGCAGUAGGGAAUCUUCCGCAAUGGGCGAAAGCCUGACGGAGCAACGCCGCGUGAGUGAUGAAGGUCUUCGGAUCGUAAAACUCUGUUAUUAGGGAAGAACAAAUGUGUAAGUAACUAUGCACGUCUUGACGGUACCUAAUCAGAAAGCCACGGCUAACUACGUG
Molecule: ribosomal RNA, 497 nt
Filed under: uncultured bacterium
Lineage: Bacteria
Description: partial 16S ribosomal RNA
Rfam family: Bacterial small subunit ribosomal RNA
Source: RNAcentral